CUACGGGACGCUGCAGUGGGGAAUAUUGGACAAUGGGGGAAACCCUGAUCCAGCAAUGCCGCGUGUGUGAAGAAGGCCCGCGGGUUGUAAAGCACUUUCGGUUGGGAGGACUGCUUCUAGCACUAAUAUUGUUGGAAGUUGACGUUACCUUCAGAAGAAGCACCGGCUAACUCCGUGCCAGCAGCCGCGGUAAUACGGAGGGUGCAAGCGUGUAAUCGGAAUUACUGGGCGUAAAGCGCGCGUAGGCGGCUAGAUCAGUCGGGUGUGAAAGCCCCGGGCUUAACCUGGGAACUGCAUCCGAUACUGUCUAGCUUGAGUACAGGAGAGGAGAGUGGAAUUCCACAUGUAGCGGUGAAAUGCGUAGAUAUGUGGAGGAACACCAAUGGCGAAGGCAGCUCUCUGGCCUGAUACUGACGCUGAGGUGCGAAAGCGUGGGGAGCAAACAGGAUUAGAUACCCGCGUAGUC
RNAcentral lists this ribosomal RNA (466 nucleotides) under uncultured bacterium. RNAcentral's name for it is "partial 16S ribosomal RNA". It matches the Rfam family "Bacterial small subunit ribosomal RNA", at positions 339 to 795 of the family's 1533-position model. The record is from RNAcentral.